RNAcentral lists this ribosomal RNA (250 nucleotides) under uncultured bacterium. RNAcentral describes it as "partial 16S ribosomal RNA". It matches the Rfam family "Bacterial small subunit ribosomal RNA", at positions 779 to 1028 of the family's 1533-position model. The record is from RNAcentral.
UAGAUACCCUGGUAGUCCACGCCGUAAACGAUGUCAACUAGUUGUUGGGUUCCUUGAGAACUUAGUAACGAAGCUAACGCGAUAAGUUGACCGCCUGGAGAGUACGGCCGCAAGGUUAAAACUCAAAUGAAUUGACGGGGGCCCGCACAAGCGGUGGAGCAUGUGGUUUAAUUCGAAGCAACGCGAAGAACCUUACCUGGCCUUGACAUGCUGAGAACUUUCCAGAGAUGGAUUGGUGCCUUCGGGAACU